UACGUAGGGGGCAAGCGUUGUCCGGAAUCAUUGGGCGUAAAGAGCGUGUAGGCGGUCCGGUUAGUCGGCUGUGAAAGUCCAGGGCUCAACCCUGGGAUGCCGGUCGAUACUGCCGGGCUAGAGUCCGGAAGAGGCAAGUGGAAUUCCCGGUGUAGCGGUGAAAUGCGCAGAUAUCGGGAGGAACACCAAUGGCGAAGGCAGCUUGCUGGGACGGUACUGACGCUGAGACGCGAAAGCGUGGGGAGCGAACAGG
RNAcentral lists this ribosomal RNA (253 nucleotides) under uncultured bacterium. RNAcentral describes it as "partial 16S ribosomal RNA". It matches the Rfam family "Bacterial small subunit ribosomal RNA", at positions 524 to 776 of the family's 1533-position model. The record is from RNAcentral.